UAUUUUCUUAGAAUAUUAAAAACCAGUUCGUACAAAAUUCCCUUGGUGACGUCAUACUGGGUGUAUGGUGGUCACAUUGAUAUUUCUUGAGGUUGGUACUGAACACCGGCCGCUAGCUGUCACGAAGCCGGAACGGUGAAGAGGGAAGGAUUGGUCUUGGGAGUGUCAAUAAGAAUGGCGGCGUGAGUUUUCUAAUUAUAUAAUUAAAAUAAGUUAUUUCCAGUUGCAUAGUUCCAUUAUUGUUGUUGCAAGUUAUAGAAAGUUGAGUGAAUUAAAGUGACGGAAUAAUGAAACUCCAUUCGGGAGAAAUCUAUUAUUACCGCUGGUAAACCCUCUCUAACACCGAGAGCAGACACUUCCAAGAUUCAGUCAACCAGGGAACAAGUCUAAGGAUACAGUCCCAUUUGUUUUGUUUUGGUUCAUCCUCCUGCACCCUCCGAGGGACAGGUUCAUUAGCUAUUGGGCAGUUGCACCACUUCGGUGUUAACUUCGUACCACGGAUUUGGUACCACACACCAAGGAUCAGUGUUGGAACGCGUGAAAAGGGGUUUGUUUUGGGGGACAAUUAUUCAUACUAGUUAAAGACUUAUACUGUUUUUUUUUUGUAAUAUUCAGGACAUUUAAGUUAGAUACACAUAAGUUCAUAAUUUAAUUACACAUAAAUAUUUUUUUCUUUCUCUACAAAUUUAAGUACAUUUUAGUUAUAAUAACCAUGCCUAACAGUUAGUACUGUUCCCCCAAAUUUAUAUAAUUCUUGGUAGAAGUUUCGAGCUCGAAGAUUCUCCCCAUACAUGUUCUUUCCCCUUGGUUCGUAUUAAUUUUAGACUUGUUUUCUCAGUUAAUUUAAAAAUAAUAUUAGUUCAAUUCACCUAAAUUUAAAAUCAUUCAACUUAUUUCAUAAUUUUUCAAUUUGUAUUAGAUUUUUGUAAAUAUUAUUUAACGUUAACUAUUAAUUUUUUUAUAUUAUAUUUGAAUAAAUCCCUAGUACCCAUCCCCUCAGGAAGGUACUAGUUUUACUUGCGAUUAUUAUUUAGAACCACUAGUCAGAAAAGGAUCUUUUGUAUCCAGUACUAAGUUGGUUCAUUUAGGGACUUGUUACCCGUCAACACAUUGAGAGUUGUAAAAUAUAUAUUAUUUACAUUAGGUAUUUUCCUUAUUCUAUUAUCAGGUA
Molecule: long non-coding RNA, 1171 nt
Organism: Diabrotica virgifera virgifera (western corn rootworm)
Lineage: Eukaryota; Metazoa; Arthropoda; Insecta; Coleoptera; Chrysomelidae
Exons: 2
Source: RefSeq, a predicted model, not a curated record